Molecule: ribosomal RNA, 432 nt
Filed under: uncultured bacterium
Lineage: Bacteria
Description: partial 16S ribosomal RNA
Rfam family: Bacterial small subunit ribosomal RNA
Source: RNAcentral
ACGAACGCUGGCGGCACGCCUCACACAUGCAAGUCGAACGAGACCUUCGGGUCUAGUGGCGCACGGGUGCGUAACGCGUGGGAACCUGCCCUUAGGUUCGGAAUAACUCCCCGAAAGGGGUGCUAAUACCGGAUAAUGUCUUCGGACCAAAGAUUUAUCGCCUUUGGAUGGGCCCGCGUUGGAUUAGCUAGUUGGUAGGGUAAAAGCCUACCAAGGCGACGAUCCAUAGCUGGUCUGAGAGGAUGAUCAGCCACACUGGGACUGAGACACGGCCCAGACUCCUACGGGAGGCAGCAGUGGGGAAUAUUGGACAAUGGGCGAAAGCCUGAUCCAGCAAUGCCGCGUGAGUGAUGAAGGCCUUAGGGUUGUAAAGCUCUUUUACCCGGGAUGAUAAUGACAGUACCGGGAGAAUAAGCUCCGGCUAACUCCGUG